GUCCUUUGAUAAAUCAUAGUUCAGGAAAUUCCUAAUUAUUCAGUAUCCUCCAUUAUCGGCUAAGCAACUGAAUUUAGCCUGCUAAACCAGCAUGACAAUGGCGGGUUGAAUAAUCAAGAAGAUCCCAGUUCAUUCUAGGUUCUAAAUAUCACUGAGCAACACAUGCUUCAAUGACGGUCUGAACUUCGAAUUAAUUUGUAAAGCUGAUAUUUUUAAUAUCUUGAGGAUUGGAAAGAAUGGAUCAGAAUACUU
RNAcentral lists this long non-coding RNA (252 nucleotides) under Daucus carota (carrot). RNAcentral describes it as "long non-coding RNA (DCAR_LNC007287)". Lineage: Eukaryota; Viridiplantae; Streptophyta; Magnoliopsida; Apiales; Apiaceae. The record is from RNAcentral.